UUUAUUUAUUUAUAAAAUAAUAAAAUGGUAGCCUUCUGCUUACGAUUUUUGAUGGCAAAAAAAACGGCGCUUCUUCUUCGGAGGAAACUGCCGCUUCGACGACGGAAACAACCUGAUCUAACCCUAACAUCACGGAUUCGACGACGGCGGAUACAACCAUCACCGCAUCUUCCUUUCGAUCUGGUUGUAGAAAUCCUUUGUAGAGUUUCGGUGAAACAACUGAGUCAACUCCGUUGCGUCUGCAAGUCAUGGAAUUCCCUUAUCCCUGAAGAUUCAAAUUUUGCUAAGAAGCAAUUCCGCUUGUCAUCAUCAUGCGAAGAGCACCGCCACCAUCUCUUCCUAAAGUCUUCUGAGUUCCUUCAUUUACAAUGCCCAAUCUCCAAUAUCUUGAUCAACUCCAAAGACGUUACUAUGUCCAGUUACUAUCUUAAAGAAGGAAAAUCUAUUGGUGGUUUUGUCUCCACUUGUGACGGUAUCCUAUGUUAUAAGAUAAAUAAUUCUUCACUUGUUUUAUUUAACCCUUCUAUUAGAUCUAAAUUCAUAAUAUUGCCUUCUUUGAAAUUUCCAGAAGAUACUUCAAUCUCAUAUACAUUAUUGUAUGACCGUUUCGUCGAUAGUUAUAAGGUUAUUGCUUUUAAUGCCCUUAGUACCAAAAGAGAAGUCAGUGUUCAUAUUUUGGGUACAGAUUAUUGGAAAAGGAUUCAAGACUUUCCAAUUCUCCACUCCGGCCAAUCAUUAUUGUUGUAUAAUUAUAGUAGUAGGGAGGGAAUAUUUGUCACUGACUCUGUUAAUUGGUUGGUAUCAGAUUUCAUUGUUUCUCUUCAUUUAGAGAAUGAGUCAUAUCAAAAGCUUUCACUACCGGUCUCUAAUGUGCAAUUAAGAACUUCACGUUUUGUUACCUUAGGGACAUUGAGGGGUUGUUUGUCCCUUGUUAUCCCCAGUUUUUUUUUUAAUUUUAAUUGUAUUAUGCCACUUGAGAAAUUGCUAUGUUAUUUAAUGUAGAAAUUCCAUUAAGUAGCUCAUGAAGAAAUGAUGUAUUCAUUUCAGUUUGUUAUAUUGUUCUUGCCUUUAAGAAAGCUCUUGUAAUUUUGAUUGAUCAAUUAUAUGAGAAUGAUGAGAAACUUGCUAGCCUUUAGAUUAAAAUAAACGGUUCAGAUCUCAUUUAAGAAACACAUGGGUAUCUUUCUAGUCUAUUAUUUCUCAUUAUCACAUUUGCCUUUUCGUCUUCUUCCAUCUUAAAGCUUUCACUCAUUUUUCAUAGGGAUGACAAUUUGACCCAUCCCUAGUGGGCACCCGCAAAAAAUACCCACAACGGGUAGGUUAAAAACCUGCGUUUUGGGUACGGUCACGGGUAUGGGUAAUUACCCGUAAAAAUGAGCCGGUAUGGGGACGGGUAUGAGUAAUUACCCCUAAUGAAUCACUAUUACCUUAAAAUUGUUGUCUUUCAUAGAUACAUUGUUGAUUUUGAACCGCCACAUUUGUUUAUAUGGCUGCUAGUAGAUUCCUAAAUUAGAUUUAUCAAGCCACUUAGAUUCAAAAUUUCUUGGCAUUGCAUUGUCGAUGAUGUGCUUUUAUUUCUAAUUUCUAGUCAGUUUUUUCUGCUUCUUAUAGAACAAUUGUUUUAUGCGUUCAACACUAAUUAUCUACUUGUGACACUUUAAUGCUUAAGUGCAUCUACAAUUGAGUUUCCUCGGUAACUAAUGAAAGUAACACAUAUCGAAAACUGUUAAUAUUAUUGCUUGUUUUAUGAUUCCAAGUUAUCUUUAUUUCACUUUGUCUAAUAAUUGAUCUUUUUGGCAUUUUAACAUUAGUAUAUUUAUGACCUGUUUUAGAGAAGGGUUGAUGUCCUAUAAGCAAUUCAUUCAGGAGCUUGAGGAUGAUAUACUACCAGCUGAAGCAGAACAUAAAUAAUCUUUUGCGUUAUCUCUGAGAAUUCAAGUUAUGUCGGAAAAUUUUCUGAUCUUUCUUGACAAAUGACUUCUGAUUGAUUUUUCUAGGUAUCAAGAAUAUAGAUCAGAGUACAUUUCUACCCAAAAAAGAGCUUAUUUCAAUGCUCAUAAGGAUGAGGAGUGGUUGAAAGAUAAAUACCAUCCAACAAGUUUGCUUAAAGUCAUUGAAAGGAGGAAUGAAAGGGCUCGACAGCUGGCAAAAGAUUUUUUGCUUGAUUUGCAGAGUGGAACUUUUGAUCUAAAUCCGGGUUUAAGUGCCUCUUCAUCCAGCAAAUCAGCGCACGCUAGCGAACCAAAUUCAGAGGAGGAAGCAGAUGGCAAACAGAGAAGACAUGGAAGGGGUUUUAAUAAACAAAGUGAUUUCACAGCUGCUCUAAAGACUCAUCCUAUCAGUUCUGAACCGAGACGAAUACAAGCAGAUGUUCAAGUUCAACUGUCUCAGGCCCCUGUUCGCAAGCUUGAUGCAGAAAAGGGGAUUGGAGAUAAUAUUUUAUGCAGCAGUGAUCAUAUUGCCACCCAUUCAUCUUUUGGCUUCACACCAUUUCAGGUUGUAUAUGGUCGAAGUCCUCCCUCUCUCUGCCCUUAUACAUUGCAGAGAAGAUAUGCUCUGUCUCCUUAGAAACAAGUUACUCAAGGCUCAAAACACUAUGAAGCUUCAAGCUGAUAGGAAGCAUAUCAAUCAUCAGUUCUCACUCGGUGAAUUUGUGUUUGUCAAGCUGCGUCCAUAUCGACAAACAUCCGUAGAAGGUCAUCGCAUUCAAAAGCUCUCAAAGAGGUUCUUUGGCCCUUUCAAGAUUAUCCGCCAAAUUGGAGAUGUUGCUUUGGAAUUGGAGUUACCUGCCUCUAACAAAAUUCAUCCGGUUUUCCAUGUGUCAAAGCUCAAGCUCAGUUACACCACUCCCUCCAACAUUUCUGCAUUACCUGUGGACACUGUGCACGCACAGGCACAGCCAGUGCUUCAACCUCUCGCUGUGCUUGACUGGAAGCGAGAUUCAGAAACUGCUUCACCAUUGGUUCUCAUUCAAUGGGAAGGGCUGUUUCCAGAGGAUGCCACUUGGGAACCUUACGACGACAUGCUUCGCGUGUAUCCAGACUUUCACCUUGAGGACAAGGUGCAUUUUGAAGGGGAAAGGAAUGUUAUGGGCCUAGAUGAGCCAAGGGAAGAAGAGUACAAAGGCCCAAUUCCUCACUUAAAGGCCAAGAGAAACAUAAUGAAGCCCAUAUGGCAAAAGGACUAUGUCAUGACCAAGCCUAAGUGAUUCCAAGGACACAUCUUCAUCUGUAUGAAGGAUCUAGAAUAAGUUGUUAGCAUAAUUAGUUGUUUUACUAGUACACACUUGUAGGCAGGUGUUUAUUGGAUAAGAGAAUUCCUGGUUAUGUGGGAAUUCUAGUUAUGAGUUAGCUAUUAGUGUGCUUGCUAUGACGGAGAAUAAUGCAGAUGAGUAUUAAGUGAA
RNA transcript from Trifolium pratense (red clover), 3403 nucleotides. RefSeq lists it as uncharacterized. Lineage: Eukaryota; Viridiplantae; Streptophyta; Magnoliopsida; Fabales; Fabaceae. The record is from RefSeq and is a predicted model, not a curated record. The transcript has 4 exons.